GGUUUAAAUAGCUGUGGAGCAAAGACAUCUGCCAUCACCUUGAUCAUCUACCAAGGUUGCUUCUUCUUCCCAGUCUUGGGUUCAAGGUCUUGACAAUCAUGAGGUUUCUCAUCCUUACCUGCCUUGUGGCUGUUGUUCUUGCCAGGCCUAAACUUCCUCUUAGACACCCAGAACUCAUUCAAAAUGAACCAGACUACAGAGAGGAAGUUCUCAAAGAAAGACAGUUUCCCAAGUUUGCCCUGCCUACAUCAAGAGAGCUAAGAGAGG
RNA transcript from Mirounga angustirostris (Northern elephant seal), 267 nucleotides. RefSeq lists it as uncharacterized. The record is from RefSeq and is a predicted model, not a curated record. The transcript has 6 exons. Lineage: Eukaryota; Metazoa; Chordata; Mammalia; Carnivora; Phocidae.